UGAGCAACCUGCCCUUGACUCUGGAAUAACAGUUGGAAACAGCUGCUAAUACCGGGUAUGACCUGUCACCGCAUGGUGGUGGGUGGAAAGUUCUGACGGUCAGGGAUGGGCUCGCGGCCUAUCAGCUUGUUGGUGAGGUAAUGGCUCACCAAGGCUUCGACGGGUAGCCGGCCUGAGAGGGCGACCGGCCACACUGGGACUGAGAUACGGCCCAGACUCCUACGGGAGCAG
RNAcentral lists this ribosomal RNA (231 nucleotides) under uncultured bacterium. RNAcentral describes it as "partial 16S ribosomal RNA". It matches the Rfam family "Bacterial small subunit ribosomal RNA", at positions 118 to 347 of the family's 1533-position model. The record is from RNAcentral.